Molecule: ribosomal RNA, 478 nt
Filed under: uncultured bacterium
Lineage: Bacteria
Also listed under: 1 other name
Description: bacterial SSU rRNA
Rfam family: Bacterial small subunit ribosomal RNA
Source: RNAcentral
GAUGAACGCUAGCGGGAGGCCUAACACAUGCAAGUCGAGCGGGAAUCUUCUUCGGGAGAUGAGAGCGGCGCACGGGUGAGUAACGCGUAUGCAACCUGCCCCAGACAGGGGGAUAGCCCGGAGAAAUCCGGAUUAAUACCCCAUAUAAUUAUAAUUCCGCAUGGGAAUAUGAUCAAAGCUCCGGCGGUUUGGGAUGGGCAUGCGUGACAUUAGCUGGUUGGUGAGGUAACGGCUCACCAAGGCUGCGAUGUCUAGGGGUUCUGAGAGGAUGAUCCCCCACACUGGUACUGAGACACGGACCAGACUCCUACGGGAGGCAGCAGUGAGGAAUAUUGGUCAAUGGGCGCAAGCCUGAACCAGCCAUCCCGCGUGAAGGAAGACGGCCCUAUGGGUUGUAAACUUCUUUUGUACAUGAAGAACGGUAUUUACGGGUAGAUACAUGACGGUAAUGUACGAAUAAGCAUCGGCUAACUCCGUG